UUUCAAAGAUUAAGCCAUGCAUGUGUCAGUGCAAGCCUUUCCUAACGGUGAAACCGCGAACGGCUCAUUAAAUCAGUCAUAAUCCGUUGGACUAUAUGGAACCUUGUCCUUACUCGGAUAACUGUGGUAAUUCUAGAGCUAAUACAUGCCACGAGUUCCCAAAGUGUUUUUUUUAACAUUAGUAGGACGCAAUUAUUAGAUCCAAAAAUUUGAAUAAAACUUGGUGUAAAGUUUGGUGAUUCUGGAUAAUAGGAGCAGAGCGCUUAAUUUUCGCCGGCGCCAUACCUAUGAAGGGACUGCCCUAUCAGCUUGAUUGUAUAUUAAAUGUUUACAAUGGCUAUAACGGGUAACGGGGAAUCAGGGUUCGAUUCCGGAGAGGGAGCCUGAGAAACGGCUACCACAUCUAAGGAAGGCAGCAGGCACGCAAAUUGCUCAAUCUUAGCUCAAGGAAGCAGUGACAAAAUAUCUUGAUGCGGGACUCUUCCGAGGCCUCGCAAUCAGGAUGCGUUUACUUUAAAUAAGUAAGCUGAACGCAAUCUCGUAGUUGGACUUUAUGCUCAGGCAACCAGUCCCCGUUCUUUUAAGGGUUAAGAUGAGUCUGCAAUUAAGUUUGUGUCCGUUCAUCCUUCUUUUUUCAUUUCUCUUUUUUUUUUUCCCUUUCUGACCAGAGGAAGUUUAUAAAAUUAGUUUCAAUCGUAUCACUUUGAAUAAAUUAGAGUGCUCAAAGGCAAUGCAUAAUAAUUGCCUGUAUGGUAGUGCAUGGAAUGAUGGAAGAUGAUCUUUGCCUUGUUAAGUUUAAAAAGGAUAUAUAUUUUAUUUUUGCCCCAAGUAAAGAUUCGAGGUUUGAGAUAAUGAUUAAAGGGAACUGCCGGGGGCAUUUGUAUUACGGCGCUAGAGGUGAAAUUCUUGGACCGUCGUAAGACAAACUAUUGCGAAGGCAUUCGCCAAGAAUGUUUUCAUUAAUCAAGAACGAAAGUUAGAGUUUAGAAGGAGAUCAGAUACCUCCCUAUUUCUAACCGUAAACAAUGCUAACCGGUUGUCCGUCGGAAGUCAAUUCCGAUGGACGAGCGACCCCAGGGAAACCAGAGUUUCUGAGCUCCUGGGGAAGUAUGGUUGCAAUAUUGAAACUUAAAGGAAUUGACGGAAGGGCACCACCAGGAGUGGAGCCUGCGGCUUAAUUUGACUCAACACGGGAAAACUCACCAGGCCCAGAAACAUUUAGGAUUGACAGAUUGAAAGCUCUUUCAUGAUUAUGAGGAUGGUGGUGCAUGGCCGUCUUAGUUGGUGGAGCGAUCUGUCUGGUUAAUUCCGAUAACGAACGAGAUUCUUAUUUACUAACUAGAAGGUAGAUCUGAUUCCGAAAGUCUUUGUGUGUGUAAUUGUCGGAUAGUCUAUCUUUCUUCUUAGAAAUAUCAAUGAUGCUCUAAUCAGUUGACAGGAAGAGCAAUAACAGGUCUGUGAUGCCCUUAGAUGUUCUGGGCCGCACGCGCGCUACAAUGCACGGUGCAACGCGCAAUCCUUCUCCCUAAUGGAGUGGGCAACCGGUUGAAACCCGGGCCUACUUGGGAUUGGGGCUUGCAAAUAUUUCCCAUGAACGAGGAAUUCCCAGUAAGCGUUGGCUCAUUUAAGUCGCGUUGACUAAGUCCCUGCCCUUUGUACACACCGCCCGUCGCUACUACCGAUUGAAUGGUUCAGUGAGAGCAUUGGACUGUCGUUCUAAAAUUGUGAACUGACGGGAAGAUGUUCAAACUUGAUC
RNAcentral lists this ribosomal RNA (1756 nucleotides) under Tanaella unguicillata. Its description in RNAcentral is "SSU rRNA". It matches the Rfam family "Eukaryotic small subunit ribosomal RNA". The record is from RNAcentral. Lineage: Eukaryota; Metazoa; Arthropoda; Malacostraca; Tanaidacea; Tanaellidae.